RNAcentral lists this long non-coding RNA (4750 nucleotides) under Triticum aestivum (bread wheat). Its description in RNAcentral is "long non-coding RNA (TAES_LNC019966)". Lineage: Eukaryota; Viridiplantae; Streptophyta; Magnoliopsida; Poales; Poaceae. The record is from RNAcentral.
CAGUUGUUUCAUCGCUGCGAGGUUUGGUGUUCGACGACCUCGCCGUGCGUUUGACGAGCUCUGCCCCUUCGUUCGUGGGUGAGCACAAAUGACAAGUCCUCCUCCCCCAUUAAUUAUUUGAUCUAUUCCGAUGAAACUUGAUAGCUAGCUAUAUAUGUGUCUUGGAUCAUCAGUAUGCGUAACCAAUAUGUGUCUCCCGUUCGAAAGCGUCAUAGUUAUAAAUAUGCAUGCAUUUGCAUAUUUAUAACCUUGAUUCUUUCGAAUUGUCCAACGCUAUCCAUGGACAGCCCGAGUAUGUGUAGAUUGGGUUCGUUUUCCCAUAUGCUUUGCUCCGGAUCCGACGCAUAUAUUUCGUCAGUGCCUCCCCUGUUGUUCUCCGGGUACACAUCCUCUCUGUUUAUUGCAGAGACGUGUAUCAGGAGAACAGCGGGGAGGUGCUGCCGAAAUUUUGCGUCGGAUCCGGAGCAUAGCAUGGGAAAAUGAACCCAAUCUACACAUACACGGGUGGGAUUAGGACCUAUCAUUACCUAUUAGAGUGUAGGUUGCAUGGACGUAAUAAAAUUGACAAAGUAGAUCAACUGAUGAAUAUAUACAUGGUGAAUUACAUAUAUAAUUGUUGUGUGUCCAGUAGCUCUGAAAGUCAAGAUGAGUGACCGUGCUUGGAUGUAUACUGGUCACACUGGUCAGAACAAAUGGAGCGCUGAAUGGUUCACAAAAACUAAGGGGUUUGUGCAAGCCGCAUUUGCAAAUGGCCAAAAGAAAACCUGGUGCCCCUGUUUCCGGUGCGGCAAUUGGGAAAAGAAGACAGAGGCUGAAAUGGGCAAACACCUGCAGAAGAGUGGUUUUACGCCCGAUUAUACGGUGUGGACAUUUCAUGGUGAGUCUGCCCAACAUGACCGAGCUGAGGUGGAUCGUCGUCGCACCGGCGAGCAUGGUACCGGGAUGGAAAACAUGGUGCAUGACUAUGAUGAUGCUUGGGAUUCGGACGAGGAGAUGGAGGAAUCUGCAAAGGCCUUCAAUGAAAUGUUGGAGUCUUCGAAACGUCCGCUCCACGAGCACACUGAGCUUUGUCAGUUGGAUGCCAUCUCACAAGUAAUGGCUCUGAAGGCUCAGUUCAACUUGGGCAGAGAAUGCUAUGACGCAAUUAUGACAGUAUUUGGACGCUUUCUACCCAAAGGCCAUGUAAUGCCUGCAAACCUGUACCAGUCGGACAAAAUCCUCCGUGCACUGAAGAUGCCCUAUGAGAAGAUACAUGCCUGUGAGAAAGGAUGUACCUUAUUUAGGCUUGACUAUGCGGACUUGAACUAUUGUCCCAUUUGCAAGUCUUCCAGGUAUAUUGUGGUAGACAACGGUAUGGGUGAGAAGACACAAACCAAAAUCCCCGUUAGUGUUCUUCGGUAUAUGCCAAUCGUACCAAGACUUCAACGUCUUUUCAUGGUCGAAGAGACGGCCAGACAGAUGACAUGGCACAAAACAGGCAAAAGAAUCGAACUAGAUGCAGAUGGGAAUCUGAUGAUGGUACACACAUCGGAUGGUGUUGCGUGGAAAAAGUUUGAUGAAUUACAUGCUGACAAAGCGGCGGAUCCGAGGCAUCCUCGAGUCGGCAUCAGCACGGAUGGGUUCAGUGUGUUUGGUAUGACGGCAACCCAAUAUAGUUGUUGGCCCGUAUUUGUCUUUCCACUCAAUCUCCCCCCGGACAGAUUAUGCAAAGAAAGAACAUUUUCCUGACGUUGAUAAUUCCAGGACCCAACUAUCCGGGCAAAAAUAUGAAUGUGUACAUGCAGCCGCUUAAGGACGAAUUGCAAGAAGCCUGGGAUAAUGGGUUCAAGACAUACGACGCCUUUAGCAAACGGAACUUCAUAAUGCGUGUCUGGUACAUGUACUCGACGCAUGACUUGCCGGCGUAUGCACUAUUCAUUGGCUGGUGUGUGCAUGGAAGGUUCCCGUGCCACACAUGCAAGGGAGCUCUUGAGUUUCGUUGGCUUCAGGCCGGUCGCAAGUAUUCUUGCUUCGACAUGCAUAGACAGUUCCUGGAUCCUCGCCAUAAGUUCAGGAAAGACAAGAAGAACUUCAUCAGGGGUAGAGUUGUCAAAAACUCUACACCACCUGCAUUGACAGGCCAACAGACCCUGGAUCAGUUAAACGCUCUCGAGCCAGAUCCACAACGUCCAGGGUACUUCAAGGGGUAUAAUACUAAGCACGCGUGGACUCACAAAACAUGCUUACGGGAUCUGCCUUACUUCAAAGACCUCCGGGAUCUGCACGCGUGUAUCAAGAAGACCAAGCCGGCGUGCCGCGAUAAGUUCCUGAGUAAGGAGCAGUACAUGAAGGUAAUUCUUAAGGCCUUCUCUACUUAAGUUCCUUCACUUAGUAAUUCUUAGCCGUAGCGCUCAAGUUUCUAUUUGCUAACUUAGGCGCCUCCGAGAUGGUGUGCGGAUCGGAUGGAUUGUUGGGAGGUGUUGGUCGAUGAGUGGUGCUCACAACAAUGGCUAGCCCUCCACAAGGAGGCCAAGGACAAACGUGCCCAAAUGGAAGGUGUGCCACACCAUCAAGGCAGCUCCAACUUAUAUCAGUUCGGGCGCAACUAGGUAUGUGGUUUGCUUCAUGAUUCAUGCAAUUCAUUCAUCAUGCUAGCUUGAGCCCUUUAAUUACUAAUUUUCAUUGUUUCUCUCUUUCAGGCACGCUACAAUAAGGCGGAUAAGGUGCCAGAGGUGUAUGACCUGUAUGCCAUGGCCCACACUGCCUCUUUCAAGAAAGUCAAGGCUUUCUCUCAGCCUGACCUCGAUGAUGCAAACAACUUCACCAACGUCUCCUCCCACAACAAGCUCGUGAGAUAUAGAGAUGAGGGGAAGGCGAGGAAAGGGGAGGACUUUAACCCGAGCCAGGGUCCCAUUGAUCCAGAGUUGUUGAUGAUAUCUGGUGGUGGGAGGUACCAUGGCUCCAUAGCCAUUGGAGAUGGACUUAUCCGUUGUCCUAGCACUCUCCCGGAGAUCAAGGCGCGCCAGUCGAGCUCCGCUCCUGAGAUAAGGCCUCGUGAACGGCCAGUGCAACUCGCCAUCAAGGUUAGUGAUACGUACUCAGUUAUCUUUCUCCAUUACAUUGUGUGCGCUUCCAUCAAUGAUUACAAAUGGUCAUGUGAGUGGUAUUGCAGGCUGCUAUACAGAGUGAGAGAGAUAGAACGGAGAAACUUCUGGCGGAGGCGGCGGAGAGGUAGCGGGAGUUGGAGGAGAGGACGACAAAGAUGCUGGAGGAGGAGAGGGCACGGAAUGACAUGCAGGCAAGGGCCAUGUACGAGCUCCUUGUGGUAAGUUUCUUCUGCAGAUUAGCCAAAACAUUCAUGUAGUGUUUGUCUCAUUACUAACUAGUAUGACUGAGACGUCAAAACCAAAUGUGCAGUCUGUGUGCGAGAAGACAGGUCAGACCGCUCCGCCAAUGCCAGUGAUUGCUCCUGGGACCACGAUGAGUUUUAUUUGAAUGGACAUUACUUGCUAGUCUUAUCAUUUGAGUGUCAUCAUGCUAACAAGACAUUGGAAAUGAUCUUUGGUGCAGCAUAACUCCAGACAAGCAUCGCACAAUCCUUCUCCGGCUACCGACACGAGCCACCCCGCUCGUACACCUCUUGGAUCUUGGUAAGUUUAUCUAGUGUUUUGCUUAACACAUGCAUAAAGACCUAGACUUAGCUUUAUUUCCUCCAAUGCUUACCAUAAUGACGUAGACUUAGCUUCUUCUCCUCCAAAAUGACUUAAUUAGCUCUUAAAUGAUCCAUUUCACCUAAGUUUGCUCAAAAACGAUCCAUUUGACCUAAAUUAGCUCUUAAAUGAUCCAUUUCACCUAAGUUUGCUCAAAAACGAUCCAUUUCACCUUAGUUAGCUCAAAAACGAUCCAUUUCACCUAAAUUAGCUCUUAAAUGAUCCAUUUCACCUAAGUUUGCUCAAAAACGAUCCAUUUCACCUAAGUUAGCUCAAAAACGAUCCAUUUUACCUUAGUUAGCUCAAAAACGAUUCAUUUCACCUAGUUAGCUAAAAAACGAUCCAUUUCACCUUAGUUAGCUCAAAAAUGAUGCCCUUCACCUUAGUUAGCUCAAAAACGAUUCAUUUCACCUUAGUUAGCUAAAAAACGAUCCAUUUUACCUAAGUUAGCUCAUAAACGAUCUAUUUUACCUAAGUUAGUUCUAAAAUGAUUCAUUUAACCUUACUUAGCUCAUAAAUGAUCCAUUCUACCGAAGUUAGCUCUAAAAUGACCCAUUUUACCUAGGUUAGCUCCAAAAUGAUCCAUCUUACCUAGGUUACCUCUAAAAUGAUGCAUUUUACCUAAGUUUGCUCAUAAGAGAUCCAUUGCACCUAGGUUAGCUCAUAAACGAUCCAUUUCACCUAAGUUAGCUCACAAAUGAUCAAUUUCACCUAAAUUAGCUCAUAAAUGUCAUAUAUAUUCUUCUUCUUCUUCAUUUUCUUCUUCUUCUUCUUCAUUUUCUUCUUCUAACUUUCUUAUUUCCCAUUUUGCAGAAUUCAUUCACUUCACGAAAGCUUGCAUAGAUGGAGUGCUUGUUUGGAUGAACUAUGUUUCCUUUGUAUCUAUGAACUAUGCAUGUAUGGUAGGAUGACACUAUUGUAAUAUGUAUGGUUGGAUGCAUGUAUGUCGAACUUGCUAUGUAUGGUUGAUGGAACUAUGCAUGUAUGAUGAAAUUAUAUGUGUUGGAUAUCUCAUAUGUUUGCUGUGAACUUGCCAUGUGAAAAAUAUAUAUGUAUCAUCU